Pangasianodon gigas (Mekong giant catfish) is the source of this 73-nucleotide non-coding RNA. The record is from the annotation of a GenBank genome assembly. NCBI's taxonomy places the organism in Eukaryota, Metazoa, Chordata, Actinopteri, Siluriformes, Pangasiidae.
UCCCUCGUGGUCUAGAGGCUAAGGGUCCUGCACUCUCACCGUCACAGCCCGGGUUCGAUCCCCGGGCAGGGAA